RNAcentral lists this long non-coding RNA (1116 nucleotides) under Nicotiana tabacum (common tobacco). RNAcentral's name for it is "long non-coding RNA (NTAB_LNC007983)". The record is from RNAcentral. Lineage: Eukaryota; Viridiplantae; Streptophyta; Magnoliopsida; Solanales; Solanaceae.
GCAAGAAUUGCUUUGGGCGAAUCCUCUGUGGGGAUAUCGCAAUGGGAUACGUGCAGGAAGCCCGAGAAAAUCACGUCAGGGAGAAGGUCGAAGAAGGUAAAUUUGAUAUUAAACCCCUAACUGGCCAUGUACAUUAAUCAUAUAUUGUCACUUGUGAAGCAUCAAAUAGUUGUAGAAUACAACCCACCCAUUACUACUUUGUUGAAAUGCAUACCAAUUUUGUACGAAUGUAUAUAUUGUAAAAAUUGCUCAUAUUUUAUGUAGUUGAAGUUGAGUCUCAAAUGUAAGCUUCAAAUGAAAAAAAAAAAAUUGUUUAAUCACCUCCAUAUUCCGCAAUUCAUUUUCCACAUCUGUUUAAGUUUCCAAUAAACCAUUUGGAAAGCUGGAGUUGUAGGCCUAAGUUCUGUUUGAGUAAUUUUUUGGCAUCUCAAUGGUAUGAGGCAGAAGGACUACUUGCUGAUAUGUGGCACUAUAUGUCAGCAGUUCUCCUUUUAUUUGUUUUAUUGUGUUUUAUACUGCUUAUCAAGAACAUAAUCUUCUCCUCCAUUGUAGUUUGUCAAAUGCUUCAGUUAAAGCAAAUUGUGUGGAGGUUAUCAUUUAGAUUUCAUGUUACAUUGCAUUAAUCAUCAUAAUUUGCAUGUCCUAUCAUUAACUUUGCACAUAACACAAGAAUUGUGCUUAUAUUCACUUAGGUAGAAAAUUAUAACUUGCUUCUAGAGCAUCCCAUAAAAUAUACUGAUAAUUAAUUGUUUGGUCAACUUUUUUAUACUAUUGAUGGAUUAUUUUGGUUUCUACCUGGUUUGGUUUCACAAGGGUGCUUUUGGUUGAAAAUUGUAGAAGACUGUAGGGAGUGGCAAGACUGUAGGGAGUGGCAAUGCUGGAUAUUGUAGUCUACCUUAAAGUUAAUAAUCCCUCCAUUGAUCAGCACAGAGAUAUGCGUUUGGACAUACAUCACAUGUCCUAUGAGGUGAGAAUUGGGUUUCUCGAUUAUAUGUAUUGUCUCACAUUUGUUGUGAUGGUUGACGAGUAUAUGCUAAUUCUCUGCUUUAUUUUUAUGGUAGUUACUACAUGAACAUGCAAAGAACAUUCUUAUGAGGCAAAUGUUUCUGCCGAUGU